UCUUGUGCUGCAUUGCAGACUAGCUUUGCAUGCUGCUGUUGAGCCUUCUAAGAUGUGUAAUACUUACAAUUCUUCAUAAGUGCUUUAGAUUUCAUUUCUUUACCUAUGUAUAAGUUAUAAGUUUUAUUCCCAUAGUUUCUUGAUUCUAGAUUCUAAAUAAUGAAAAGUAAACCAGUGGUUGCCAUAGUUUUUCCAGGUUUGUAAGUUGGCUUCAUAUCUGCUUAGUUCUUUGAAGUAACAGGGCAGUGUGCUUUAUAGAGCAGUGAGCCUGGCUGGGAUUGAGCCGUGUUCUGAAGCCUGCUUCCAGGUUGUUUGAGAUGAGUCCC
Molecule: long non-coding RNA, 326 nt
Filed under: Bos taurus (domestic cattle)
Lineage: Eukaryota; Metazoa; Chordata; Mammalia; Artiodactyla; Bovidae
Description: long non-coding RNA NONBTAT023913
Source: RNAcentral